RNAcentral lists this unclassified non-coding RNA (158 nucleotides) under uncultured Sordariomycetes. Its description in RNAcentral is "sequence contains ITS1". The record is from RNAcentral. Lineage: Eukaryota; Fungi; Ascomycota; Sordariomycetes.
ACGAGUUGCAAAACUCCCAACCAUUGUGAACGUUACCAUAUCGUUGCUUCGGCGGGUAGCCCCUUACAGGGCCGCAUCUCCCUUACCGGAGGUAGCCAGCCGGAGGCAUUAAACUCUUAUUUUCUUUGGUAUCUCUGAGUAACUUAUAAAAUAAGUCA